This 444-nucleotide unclassified non-coding RNA is filed under the name uncultured Russula. RNAcentral describes it as "sequence contains ITS2". The stretch from base 1 to 154 matches the Rfam family "5.8S ribosomal RNA". Lineage: Eukaryota; Fungi; Basidiomycota; Agaricomycetes; Russulales; Russulaceae. The record is from RNAcentral.
AACUUUCAGCAAUGGAUCACUUGGCUCUCGCAUCGAUGAAGAACGCAGCGAAAUGCGAUACGUAAUGUGAAUUGCAGAAUUCAGUGGAUCAUCGAAUCUUUGAACGCACCUUGCGCCCCUUGGCAUUCCGAGGGGCACACCCGUUUGAGUGUCGUGAAAUUCUCAAACCUUCUUGGUUUCUUGAUCUAGAUGGCUUUGGAAUUUGGGGGCAUGUUGCCUGCUUUUCGCACAGCCAGCUCCUCUUCUAUACGAUAGUGGCGUCCCCUUUGCCGAUACCGAGACGUAAUUAGAUAUGCCUACGUCUUGGGAUUUGCUCUGUUCCUUAGGAGCCCGAUUCCAGCCGUCUCAUGGGUGACAUCGUUCGAGUUUGCUCGACCCACGAACCUUGACCUCAAAUCGGGUGAGACUACACGCUGAACUUAAGCAUAUCAAUAAGUGGAGGCU